This 205-nucleotide transfer RNA is filed under the name archaeon. RNAcentral describes it as "tRNA-Arg". The record is from RNAcentral.
GGGUGCGUAGCUCAGCUUGGAAGCCUUUCUUUUUCACAAAAAGAAACCCUUGGGAAAUAAAAAAAUUCCCGUUGGUGACAGAAAAGGAGGGUCUGGGUACAUAGAGCACUGGCCUUCUAAGCCAGGGGUCGAGGGUUCAAAAACAAAACAAAGAAUUGCAAUUCCGAAGGAAUUGCCGUUCAGGAAAAUCCCUCCGCACCCGCCA